GAUGAACGCUGGCGGCGUGCCUAAUACAUGCCAGUCGAGCGAACAGACGAGGAGCUUGCUCCUCUGACGUUAGCGGCGGACGGGUGAGUAACACGUGGAUAACCUACCUAUAAGACUGGGAUAACUUCGGGAAACCGGAGCUAAUACCGGAUAAUAUAUUGAACCGCAUGGUUCAAUAGUGAAAGACGGUUUUGCUGUCACUUAUAGAUGGAUCCGCGCCGCAUUAGCUAGUUGGUAAGGUAACGGCUUACCAAGGCAACGAUGCGUAGCCGACCUGAGAGGGUGAUCGGCCACAGUGGAACUGAGACACGGUCCAGACUCCUACGGGAGGCAGCAGUAGGGAAUCUUCCGCAAUGGGCGAAAGCCUGACGGAGCAACGCCGCGUGAGUGAUGAAGGUCUUCGGAUCGUAAAACUCUGUUAUUAGGGAAGAACAAAUGUGUAAGUAACUAUGCACGUCUUGACGGUACCUAAUCAGAAAGCCACGGCUAACUACGUG
Molecule: ribosomal RNA, 497 nt
Filed under: uncultured bacterium
Lineage: Bacteria
Description: partial 16S ribosomal RNA
Rfam family: Bacterial small subunit ribosomal RNA
Source: RNAcentral